UGGGGAAUAUUGGACAAUGGGCGCAAGCCUGAUCCAGCCAUGCCGCGUGAGUGAUGAAGGCCCUAGGGUUGUAAAGCUCUUUCACCGGUGAAGAUAAUGACGGUAACCGGAGAAGAAGCCCCGGCUAACUUCGUGCCAGCAGCCGCGGUAAUACGAAGGGGGCUAGCGUUGUUCGGAUUUACUGGGCGUAAAGCGCACGUAGGCGGACUAUUAAGACAGGGGUGAAAUCCCGGGGCUCAACCCCGGAACUGCCUUUGAUACUGGUAGUCUUGAGUUCGAGAGAGGUGAGUGGAAUUCCGAGUGUAGAGGUGAAAUUCGUAGAUAUUCGGAGGAACACCAGUGGCGAAGGCGGCUCACUGGCUCGAUACUGACGCUGAGGUGCGAAAGCGUGGGGAGCAAACAGG
This 404-nucleotide ribosomal RNA is filed under the name Verrucomicrobiota bacterium. RNAcentral's name for it is "Verrucomicrobia bacterium partial 16S ribosomal RNA". It matches the Rfam family "Bacterial small subunit ribosomal RNA", at positions 355 to 776 of the family's 1533-position model. Lineage: Bacteria; Pseudomonadati; Verrucomicrobiota. The record is from RNAcentral.